This is an RNA transcript of Ruditapes philippinarum (Manila clam), 1177 nucleotides long. RefSeq lists it as uncharacterized. The transcript is spliced from 2 exons. NCBI's taxonomy places the organism in Eukaryota, Metazoa, Mollusca, Bivalvia, Venerida, Veneridae. The record is from RefSeq and is a predicted model, not a curated record.
UAAAAUGAACCAAUACCAGCUAAUGUCGUCGGAAGCUACCUAACAGCUAUAUAUAAUAAGGCAGUUCAAAUCAAAUUAAAGGGUCCUGAAUAAUAAUGGGUUAAAAAAUAACAAAGAAAAAUUCCAAACCAUGCGAUAAUGAUCUGAUUUGGUGCACACAGACAAGUUAUGGAUAUUUUUCCUCAUUACAACACUCCUGCUUUUAAUAAUAACAAUAGAACGCAUUGAAUAAAACGCAGUUAAUGGAAUUUUCCUUAAACCAUAAUCGCCUCGUUGAACGUAUAUAAGGCCUCAUGCAGAGUUGAAGACUGUAUUGUUGCAGGGAUAAUAGUCAUCACAGGUAUUGAUAGUCAUAAGAUGGGUGGCAGUCAAUCAACUUCGAAUACAUUCGUGGCGGUUCAAAAUUCCUUUCCACAUGACGUUUACGCUAAGUGCGACUCAGAAACUCCAAAACUGAUUGAAAUGGAUGAGGAUGAGGAAAUGGCUAUUGGAGGUAAAUUAAACGCAAAAGACGAAUCCGGGAUAACUGCAGAAAUGAGGCACAAAGGUCAUCAGAAGUUCUUGGCCAAAAUUAUCAAUAUUGGGUUUUCAACUGUUAAGCCUGGAAAAUACCUUGAAUUCAACGUUCCUGUGAAGAACACAGAAACAGUUUACAUCACGUUAUACGCUAACAACGAGAAUGGCAAAUUGUUUCAUCCACUUUGUGUCAACCUCCCGAAAAAUAUCAAUGCCCAUGUUCUGGUUGAAUACGACGGACAAGUUGUCCAGUCUGAUGAUACAAGUUUGUUUAAACCGAAAGAAUGAAAUAAAUAAGAAACGGUUAAAAAGUGUAAUACAAUGUAAUAAUACUUGUAUUUUACUCUUAAGAAGAAAUAAACACCAAAUUAAUGCAGUUGACGAGUUUGAGCACAGAUAAAAAAAUCUUUAUUCAAAUAACUACAGAUAAAUUUCGAAAUUGCAUUUGUUAUAAAAAAAGUUUUUCCCUGGUUCUGAUUAGUUUUACCAAGACGUGUUAUAUAAGAUAUCAGACAAGAUUAUAAGUUUAAAAAAAAUGCAAUGAACAUUGUAUGAAACAGCUUAAAAACAAUAGAAUAACGAGAAGAAUAUUUUAAUAAUUUAACUUUCAAAUUGUGAUAAUUAUAAAAAUCUGAAUGAAUAAUAAAUAGUUGGAACUGCA